Molecule: ribosomal RNA, 253 nt
Filed under: uncultured bacterium
Lineage: Bacteria
Description: partial 16S ribosomal RNA
Rfam family: Bacterial small subunit ribosomal RNA
Source: RNAcentral
UACAGAGGUCUCAAGCGUUGUUCGGAUUCAUUGGGCGUAAAGGGUGCGUAGGCGGCGCGGUGAGUCGGGUGUGAAAUCUCGGAGCUUAACUCCGAAACUGCAUUCGAUACUGCCGUGCUUGAGGACUGGAGAGGAGACUGGAAUUUACGGUGUAGCGGUGAAAUGCGUAGAUAUCGUAAGGAAGACCAGUGGCGAAGGCGGGUCUCUGGACAGUUCCUGACGCUGAGGCACGAAGGUCAGGGGAACAAACGGG